RNAcentral lists this ribosomal RNA (904 nucleotides) under uncultured bacterium. Its description in RNAcentral is "bacterial SSU rRNA". It matches the Rfam family "Bacterial small subunit ribosomal RNA", at positions 21 to 901 of the family's 1533-position model. The record is from RNAcentral.
GGCUCAGAACGAACGCUGGCGGCGUGCCUAACACAUGCAAGUCGAACGUGAUUGGGGAGCUUGCUCCUCAUGAAAGUGGCGCACGGGUGAGUAACGCGUAGAUAAUCUGCCUGAUGAUCGGGGAUAACACUUCGAAAGGGGUGCUAAUACCGGAUAAGCCCACGGAGUCUUUGGACUCUGCGGGAAAAGGGGGGGACCUUCGGGCCUUCUGUCAUCAGAUGAGUCUGCGUACCAUUAGCUAGUUGGUAGGGUAAAGGCCUACCAAGGCGACGAUGGUUAGCUGGUCUGAGAGGAUGAUCAGCCACACUGGAACUGAGACACGGUCCAGACUCCUACGGGAGGCAGCAGUGGGGAAUUUUGCGCAAUGGGGGGAACCCUGACGCAGCAACGCCGCGUGAGUGAUGAAGGCUCUUGGGUCGUAAAGCUCUGACAGAGGGAAAGAAAUGUACUGUGGCUAAUAUCCACGGUACUUGACGGUACCCUCAAAGGAAGCACCGGCUAACUCCGUGCCAGCAGCCGCGGUAAUACGGGGGGUGCAAGCGUUGUUCGGAUUUAUUGGGCGUAAAGCGCGUGUAGGCGGUUUUUUAAGUCUGAUGUGAAAGCCCUGGGCUCAACCCGGGAAGUGCAUUGGAUACUGGAAGACUUGAAUACGGGAGAGGGCAGUGGAAUUCCUAGUGUAGGAGUGAAAUCCGUAGAUAUUAGGAGGAACACCGGUGGCGAAGGCGGCUGCCUGGACCGAUAUUGACGCUGAGACGCGAAAGCGUGGGUAGCAAACAGGAUUAGAUACCCUGGUAGUCCACGCCGUAAACGAUGAGAACUAGGUGUUGCGGGUAUUGACCCCUGCAGUGCCGUAGCUAACGCAUUAAGUUCUCCGCCUGGGAAGUACGGUCGCAAGACUAAAACU